This 361-nucleotide transfer-messenger RNA is filed under the name Oscillospiraceae bacterium. It matches the Rfam family "transfer-messenger RNA". From Rfam's summary of the family: Bacterial tmRNA, also known as 10Sa RNA or SsrA, is named for its dual tRNA and mRNA-like properties. Its role is to liberate the mRNA from a stalled ribosome. To accomplish this part of the tmRNA is used as a reading frame that ends in a translation stop signal. The record is from RNAcentral. Lineage: Bacteria; Bacillati; Bacillota; Clostridia; Eubacteriales; Oscillospiraceae.
GGGGAUGCAAUGGUUUCGACGGGGGCGUCGAGACGCGAAAAGCGGGCGGAUGCGCCUACCAUCCUUAAAAUGGGCAUCUUUAUAAAUUAAAGAACAACAACGAAUAUCUCCCGGUAGCCGCUUAAGGCUGCCCGUCCCUGCCGGAAGGUCCACGAGCCGGCGCGGGGCGUCACGACAGUGGAGCCCGUGAGCGCGGUAAGCUUUGCCCGCGCCAUGAACGAUGAAGCUACCGGAUCCCGCCGCGUGACGGCUUGCGGCGGGGCGAGGAAAGUGGGCGCGAGCCCGAAAUAACCGUCUGCGCCCGGAGAAAUUCGCGCCAAAGCGCUUUCGGACGCGGGUUCGAUUCCCGCCAUCUCCACCA